UUUUUCUGGGUCAGAUGAAAACAAGUAGUACUGAGGAUCCUCAGAAUAGGAAAUGCAAAUACUGCAUUCCAAUUAUUGGCAGGGACAUGAAGAAUAUCUGUUUCUAUAGGUGUAAGGAGAAGUUAGAGUCCAAAAUAAAACAGAAGUGACACUCUGGCUAAAGAUGCACACAAAGUCCACAACUGGUUAAGUUGAAAUCCAAAUGCCAAUUUACUAACGCGAGGAAAAAUGAGGGCAACUUACUAUGUUGUAGGGGAAAAUAUUAAGUAACAUGCAUGUGAAAUGUACCUUAUAACAGGUUUUGUAUUUUUCAAGGGAUAUAAUUAUGUGUGCAUGCAUAUUUGAGAAUUUUAUUAGGUUGUGUUUUAUUAGUGGAAAUAAAUCAGUGGAAUUAGAUAAACCUGACUCAUACAAUAAGAUGUUUCAAUCAACAAGAUCCUUGGGAUGCAGAGAAAGUGACUAUUUAGGUAAGAUAUUCUUGCAACCCCAAGAGAGGUAAACCAGACCACAGGUGGAAGUCCGGCAAGUAGGAGCCAUGAACUGCCUCAAGGGAGUGGGGAGCAGCUUUAAAACAGUAUGAGGAAGGGCUCAACUUGUCCACAAAAUGUUUUAGGUCUACCAGUUUGAGAACUGUAGGACACACACCUGCAUUUUGUUCCUCCCUCUGUUGUUGCCACUGGUGAAAAUAAACCAAGUGCUCUCGACCACACAUGCUUCACCCGUCUUUCUUAUCAGCAGUGCUACAUAGAAGGAAUCCAGGGCCAGGAGAGUUUUCAUUUUCUUAAUGGCUUUUGCAUACACUGGGUUUACAAAUACUUAUGGCAGUUCACUAACUUAAUCAAUGUCCCUGCUCAUGCCACCACCAAACAGUUGAAUUCAAAUGGAAGGAGAAAGAAUAGGUGGUCAACAGGUUCAGUAAUGAAAGAUGCCAUGUUGGGCAAGGACUAUAGUAAGGGACUAAAGGACUGGGGAAUGGAGUGAGGAGUUUAGAAUCAGGGAAAUAGUAGAUCAGCAGGUCAGAAAAGGGGAGUGCUAUGAGGUCCCAAGAUGCCACCAUCCCACCCCAGCUACCAUGCAUGGAUUUUUCUCCAUGAGCCAUCCCAGGUGAACUGUUUGGGGGUCUAGCUGACUGACCCAAAGGGCUAGAAGUGGCCAGAAGCAAUAGUUGCAAGAACCAAUGGUUAGAUCUGUGGUAGAAACACCAGCUCAGUAGCUAGUUCUAUCCCCUGAGAGUUUGUUUUAUGUAGGAUCUAACAAAACAGGCAAGCAAUAUAACCAAGAAGUAUUUAUUAAACAAUCUUCUGUGCUAAAUAAAGAAGGCUCUUGCCAGGCGCGGUGGCUCACACCUGUAAUCCCAGCACUUUGGGAGGCCGAGGUGGGUGGAUCACUUGAGGUCAGGAGUUCGGAACCAGUCUGGCCAACAUGGUGAAACUCCAUCUCUACCAAAAAAAUACAAAAGUUAGUUGGGCAUGGUGGCACACAUCUGUAGUGGCAGUUAUUCAAGAGGCUGAGGUGGGAGGAUCACUUGAGCUCAGGAGGUCGAGGCUGCAGUGAGCCAAGAUCACGCCACUGCACUCUAGCCUGGGUGACAGAGUGAGCCCCUAUCUCAACAAACAAACAAACAAAUAAAUAAAUAAGGCUCUUUUGGUAUCUUUAAUGCCUAGUGUAGUCCCUGGCGUAUUAGUAGGGCUCCAUAAAUACUCGAAUCUAUUUGAAAGAUUCGAAUGGAUUAUAGAAACAAGAUGAUAGAAAAUUAAAUGGCAGCAUUUUUUUUUUUUAACUUUUAAAUUCAGGUAUAGCAUGCACAUAGGCUUUCCAUGAACUUUUUACAAAAUGAGCACACCUAUACAACCACCACCGAGGUCAAGAACUGUUUUACCAUCACCCCAAAAGCAUCCCCUCAUGAAGAUAACCACUAUUACCACCAUCUCAUAGAUUAGUUUGUUUUUAAUUUGGUCUAAGUGGAAUCAUACAUUAUAUAUUUUUGUGUCUGGUAUCUUUCAGUCAACAUUGUUUUUGAGAUAUUUAUCUGUGUAUGGCUGUAAUUCACAGUAUUCCAUUGUUUAU
Molecule: long non-coding RNA, 2067 nt
Organism: Macaca fascicularis (crab-eating macaque)
Lineage: Eukaryota; Metazoa; Chordata; Mammalia; Primates; Cercopithecidae
Source: Ensembl